Molecule: ribosomal RNA, 253 nt
Filed under: uncultured bacterium
Lineage: Bacteria
Description: partial 16S ribosomal RNA
Rfam family: Bacterial small subunit ribosomal RNA
Source: RNAcentral
UACGGAGGGUGCAAGCGUUAUCCGGAUUCACUGGGUUUAAAGGGUGCGUAGGUGGGCAAGUAAGUCAGUGGUGAAAUCUCCGGGCUUAACCCGGAAACUGCCAUUGAUACUAUUUGUCUUGAAUACUGUGGAGGUCAGCGGAAUAUGUCAUGUAGCGGUGAAAUGCUUAGAUAUGACAUAGAACACCAACUGCGAAGGCAGCUGGCUACACAAAUAUUGACACUGAGGCACGAAAGCGUGGGGAUCAAACAGG